CCGGGGAGCCGGGCAGCCGCGUGCGCUUCACGGCGUUCGAGGAAAGUCCGGGCUCCACGAAACAAGGGUGGCGGGUAACGCCCGCCGGGUGAAAGCCCAGGGAAAGUGCCACAGAGAGUAUACCGCCGAUGGCGCCUGAAGCGCACAGGCAAGGGUGAAAGGGUGCGGCAAGAGCGCACCGGGAGCGUGGCAACACGGUCCGUCAUGGCAAACCCCACCCGGAGCAAGACCGCAUAGGGGUCUCGCGCCACUUGCUGGCAGGAGUGUUUCGCUCCGAGAGACCCGGGUUGGUUGCUUGAGCGCGGGAGCAAUCCGGCGCCGAGAUGAAUGGCUGCCCCCGCGGCGCAGGUCCCUUCGGGGAAACCGGCUGCGGGACAGAACCCGGCUUACAGGCUCCCCGGCAAU
This 405-nucleotide RNase P RNA is filed under the name Aurantiacibacter poecillastricola. RNAcentral's name for it is "RNase P RNA component class A". It matches the Rfam family "Bacterial RNase P class A". From Rfam's summary of the family: Ribonuclease P (RNase P) is a ubiquitous endoribonuclease, found in archaea, bacteria and eukarya as well as chloroplasts and mitochondria. The record is from RNAcentral. Lineage: Bacteria; Pseudomonadati; Pseudomonadota; Alphaproteobacteria; Sphingomonadales; Erythrobacteraceae.